GACGAACGCUGGCGGCGUGCUUAACACAUGCAAGUCGAACGGAAAGGCCCUGCUUUUGUGGGGUGCUCGAGUGGCGAACGGGUGAGUAACACGUGAGUAACCUGCCCUUGACUUUGGGAUAACUUCAGGAAACUGGGGCUAAUACCGGAUAGGAGCUCCUGCUGCAUGGUGGGGGUUGGAAAGUUUCGGCGGUUGGGGAUGGACUCGCGGCUUAUCAGCUUGUUGGUGGGGUAGUGGCUUACCAAGGCUUUGACGGGUAGCCGGCCUGAGAGGGGGACCGGGCACAUGGGGACUACGGUACGGCGCAGAGUCCUACGGGGGGCAACGGGGGGGAAUAUUGCACAAUGGGGGGGAGCCUGAUGCGGAGGCGCCGGGAGCGGGAUGAAGGCCUUGGGGUUGUAAACCGCUUUCGCCUGUGACGAAGCGUGAGUGACGGUAAUGGGUAAAGAAGCACCGGCUAACUACGUG
This 468-nucleotide ribosomal RNA is filed under the name uncultured bacterium. RNAcentral's name for it is "partial 16S ribosomal RNA". It matches the Rfam family "Bacterial small subunit ribosomal RNA", at positions 28 to 507 of the family's 1533-position model. The record is from RNAcentral.